AGAAAUUCUGUCUUGGUCACUUGUGGGAGUAAAAGGGUUAAGUGACUAGUAUCAAAUUUCUUGUUAUAGCAUCACCUCUGAGUCAAACAUUAGGGUCAUGUGAAUAAAGAAAAUGAUCACCCACUUAAACAGCUCUGACUUGAUUAUUAAACAAAUUCUCCCUGUGAAUACCUCAGGAACUGUGCAUAGGCUCCAGUAUUGAGAAUGUAGGAAGUGAACAGUUAGUAAAAGAUGUGGGGCCUCAAGCUAUUUAUAUCAAUAUUAAUCCUAUCUGGGUUUCUCACCAGAAUUUAUUUUAAUGAUUGAAUGUCAAAUGUUUAGGAUUUUGCCAAGGAGAUGUAAUUGUACAGGAGGAGACAGUGUUUGGAAACAACACAUUAUCAAUGGCUCAGUAAGACAGUGCUAUGGGCAGAGAAAUUCCUGCAAAGUCCUAAAUGGUCUCAUUUCAACUACUAGUUCAGUAGUGUUCAUAGCUGCAAGGAUCGCUUAUAUCUCAUGGUGACAGGUAACAGCAUAUUUUACUAUUGAUUCAUUUUGACUUUGUUCAUGACAUUCUUUUCCAGUGACCUGCCCUGGGAAUUCUGCUUGUUCUUCAAAUGGUCCAGGAUUCUCACAAUGUCUUUGUAAACCAAGUUGGCAUGGUUAUAAAUGCUUAGUUAAGAGUGGAUUUCCUUGGCUGUUAAUUUUUGCUCCAGUUGGUGGAUCAACAGUAGUUUUAAUAGUUGUUAUUCUGCUCAUCCAGCGAAGAAGGCGUGGACAAAGGCCAACACAUUAUUCAGUACUCCACUGACCUAACUGACUGUUACUUAAGGCCAAGCCUUGCUGAAAAACAGCCAAUCACUGAUCUGUUCUUGGGAGGAAAUUAUCAGUACUGCUUCUCUACAUCAUAUGUGCUGUCAUGUAAUCAUUACAAAGCACUUCAGGAAAUUCUCUAUUAGACGAAGUAAAAAGUUAGGAUUCAGAUUUGA
Unclassified non-coding RNA from Pocillopora damicornis (cauliflower coral), 968 nucleotides. The record is from RefSeq and is a predicted model, not a curated record. Lineage: Eukaryota; Metazoa; Cnidaria; Anthozoa; Scleractinia; Pocilloporidae.